RNAcentral lists this ribosomal RNA (449 nucleotides) under uncultured bacterium. Its description in RNAcentral is "bacterial SSU rRNA". It matches the Rfam family "Bacterial small subunit ribosomal RNA", at positions 28 to 469 of the family's 1533-position model. The record is from RNAcentral.
GAUGAACGCUAGCGGCAGGCUUAACACAUGCAAGUCGAACGGCAGCACAGGUAGCAAUACUGGGUGGCGAGUGGCGCACGGGUGCGUAACGCGUAUGCAACCUACCUCUAUCUGGGAGAUAGCCCGAAGAAAUUCGGAUUAAUACCCCAUAAUAUAUGUCUUUCGCAUGUUAGACAUAUUAAAGCUUUGGCGGAUAGAGAUGGGCAUGCGUGACAUUAGCUAGUUGGUAAGGUAACGGCUUACCAAGGCUACGAUGUCUAGGGGGUCUGAGAGGAUUAUCCCCCACACUGGUACUGAGACACGGACCAGACUCCUACGGGAGGCAGCAGUGAGGAAUAUUGGACAAUGGGCGAAAGCCUGAUCCAGCCAUGCCGCGUGCAGGAAGUACGGCCCUAUGGGUUGUAAACUGCUUUUAUAUGGGGAAUAAAACCUCCGAAGUGUUCGGAGCU